AAAGAGCCACAUGCAAGCCACCGCUCUCCACUCCACGCUCUCCGCUCUGUCCGAGCUCCGCCUCUUCUCUGGGUUUUAGGUUGCUGGAUCUUCUCCGUGUGCUGGGGCAUACACAAGUUCACUGACUUGUUGACAAUGAAUUGACAAAAGCCUGAAGCACCAGCACCAGCCACAGCCCCCAGAUAGCGGUUGAAAAGAGCUUCAGCUUCAGCUUCAGCGAGGAAGAGACACUGGGAAGAAGACAGUGGGGCCUCGACAAUGGAGAUGAUACCACACAAAAUGCCAGACAUAAGUACAUUACACACAUGCGAACACCAGAACACCAGAACACUUCAGGAGAGUGCCAAAAGAAAUGCCAACGAGGGUCGAUCGAUGAACAAACCAUAAAGAAAUCUGUAACUCCCUCUCUCUAAACUGAUAGCUCUAUCCUAGGAACAGUUUGGGCCCGAAAGGUUUGGCCUCUGGUUCUAAAAGACCAAGACCAAGACUCAGUAGAUCUGUAAUGACAACCAGCUCUCGGUCUUCGUUACUUUGCCCUCUGCUUCGGAUCAGCAAGGAGCCAGAGGAUCUGCUGUAGUCGACGUUCGGCUAGAUGACGUGGGACUCUAAUGGAAAUGAAUCAAUGACCUGUACCCAUGGAACCCCGGAAGUAGACAUCUUCCCAGGGCAGGAAGGAAGGGAGCCAAAGCGGAGAACUGAGGAGGUGAUUAUAUAGAGCUUCCAGACUUGAUCAAACUAGUUGGAAGAUCAGAUCGCCAGAGAUAGAAAUCAGUUGACCGAAUGAUUUACCAGACAUUAUCCAUCCCAUUCAUGCACCCAUGCACCGUGCACCGUGCACCAUGCCCCAUGCUUCGAGUAUGCAAAUAAUAAUGGAAAUGGCAGCAACAACAGCAAUCUCUGUAGACGGCAGUGUUUUCAAAGUGGCAUAAAAUUCCAAGCGACUGCAACGAAGCGCAAAGUUGGCUUGCGAGGGGAAAUGGAGGGGGGGAUGGAUGGGGAGUUGAGAUGGGACCACAGAAAAUCUCAAAAUGUUGGAAAACUCGUUUCGUCUCAGGCUAAAAGAAAAUUGUAGAUAAAAAUAAAUAACGAAAACGAAAACUAAACAAGAAAUGAUUUGAUCAAAGGAGCCACAACGAAUGGGAUAUACCCUACAAAAAAGGGUGAGCAAGUGCCUGCCAAAAUGUUCAGAAGAAUACCAGAAAAUACUAUUAAUACAGGGUAUACCCUCUGCCCAAAGACAGUGUGUUUUUCAGAGGAUUUUUCUGCGGAUGAGAAGGCAAAGAAUUUUCCUAGCCAACAUCUUGAUUGUGUGCCCCACCGCUCCGCCCAGUGCUGGCUCCCCCCAGAUGAAGGAGCCGCUGGUAUACUUGAUUUCUAUGUUGUUUAUGAAUUUGUUGGGCCAUCAGGCAGUAGCCACAG
This 1419-nucleotide small RNA is filed under the name Drosophila pseudoobscura pseudoobscura. Its description in RNAcentral is "GA30604". Lineage: Eukaryota; Metazoa; Arthropoda; Insecta; Diptera; Drosophilidae. The record is from RNAcentral.